This 376-nucleotide unclassified non-coding RNA is filed under the name Hevea brasiliensis (rubber tree). Lineage: Eukaryota; Viridiplantae; Streptophyta; Magnoliopsida; Malpighiales; Euphorbiaceae. The record is from RNAcentral.
GGACUUGUACCAUGUUGAGAAACAAGCUCAGUAUGUAGUAUCCCAUGACUCAUCCCUCAUGUUAAUUAAUGGGGAAAUUAUUUCGAGUACUUAUUGGGAUACAGCAGCUGAAGAAAUAAACGAAAGACUUCAAGAAUGUAGCCAAAUUGCCAUUGCUGAAAUAGCAGGACAACUACAAGUUGGAUCAGAGCUAGUAGUAUCCAUUCUUGAACCUCGUCUUGGGACUUUGAUAAAAGGUAGGCUUGAAGGUGGGCAGUUGUAUACACCCGCCUAUGUUGCUCGUGUAAGUGCAAUGGUCCGUGGUGCAGCUAGGGGUAUUUUUGUCCCAAUGAACACAACAGCAUUAUGGAACUCCCUGCUGACUUUACUGCAAGAG